This 243-nucleotide ribosomal RNA is filed under the name Staphylococcus epidermidis. RNAcentral describes it as "partial 16S ribosomal RNA". It matches the Rfam family "Bacterial small subunit ribosomal RNA", at positions 1126 to 1368 of the family's 1533-position model. Lineage: Bacteria; Bacillati; Bacillota; Bacilli; Caryophanales; Staphylococcaceae. The record is from RNAcentral.
UUAAGUUGGGCACUCUAAGUUGACUGCCGGUGACAAACCGGAGGAAGGUGGGGAUGACGUCAAAUCAUCAUGCCCCUUAUGAUUUGGGCUACACACGUGCUACAAUGGACAAUACAAAGGGCAGCGAAACCGCGAGGUCAAGCAAAUCCCACAAAGUUGUUCUCAGUUCGGAUUGUAGUCUGCAACUCGACUAUAUGAAGCUGGAAUCGCUAGUAAUCGUAGAUCAGCAUGCUACGGUGAAUA